AUGUAUGCGAGUAUGGACAAGUACACGAUGUGCAUGCUUGGACUACUCGUAUGUUCUGCUACUAUUGCUCAAUGCGGUACCAUGGCCAAGACUCAUAGCGAGAAGAUCAAUCUACCUGCCGGGCUAUGCAAGCGUUUCAGUCCUUGCACCACUGCAGUUAUUUGCUUCUGCUGUCUUGUAGAUGAGCACUGCUACACAGCUUUGGAUGAAUGCAAGACUGCGUGUAAAAAAUCCUCUUCUUCAGAAGACAUUCAAGUGGCCACGACAUCCCUUCCUCCUUUACCUUCUCCUUUUCCAUCAUAG
This 303-nucleotide ribosomal RNA is filed under the name Triticum aestivum (bread wheat). Its description in RNAcentral is "partial small subunit ribosomal RNA". Lineage: Eukaryota; Viridiplantae; Streptophyta; Magnoliopsida; Poales; Poaceae. The record is from RNAcentral.